RNAcentral lists this ribosomal RNA (349 nucleotides) under uncultured bacterium. RNAcentral describes it as "bacterial SSU rRNA". It matches the Rfam family "Bacterial small subunit ribosomal RNA", at positions 9 to 355 of the family's 1533-position model. The record is from RNAcentral.
GAGUUUGAUCUUGGCUCAGGACGAACGCUGGCGGCGUGCCUAACACAUGCAAGUCGAGCGAAUGAAGUUCCUUCGGGAACGGAUUUAGCGGCGGACGGGUGAGUAACACGUGGGCAACCUGCCUCAUAGAGGGGAAUAGCCUUCCGAAAGGGAGAUUAAUACCGCAUAAGAUUGUAGUACCGCAUGGUACAGCAAUUAAAGGAGCAAUCCGCUAUGAGAUGGGCCCGCGGCGCAUUAGCUAGUUGGUGAGGUAACGGCUCACCAAGGCGACGAUGCGUAGCCGACCUGAGAGGGUGAUCGGCCACAUUGGGACUGAGACACGGCCCAGACUCCUACGGGAGGCAGCAGU